Small nucleolar RNA from Bison bison bison, 175 nucleotides. The record is from Ensembl. NCBI's taxonomy places the organism in Eukaryota, Metazoa, Chordata, Mammalia, Artiodactyla, Bovidae.
ACCUCCUUAUUUAAGCUCUGUGCUAAAAUUGUAGUAACUAGUAUCUGCAGUGUCUUAGUGCUUGUAAUAAAGCUAACAAAGUAAACACAAGAAGAAAAACAACCAUACCAGAUAGUAGAAAAACUACAGGUAACUAACUCCAGAGUAUUUUGUUCUAAAAUUUGGUACAGUAAUA